This 301-nucleotide ribosomal RNA is filed under the name Enterococcus faecium. RNAcentral describes it as "bacterial SSU rRNA". It matches the Rfam family "Bacterial small subunit ribosomal RNA", at positions 431 to 724 of the family's 1533-position model. The record is from RNAcentral. Lineage: Bacteria; Bacillati; Bacillota; Bacilli; Lactobacillales; Enterococcaceae.
CUCUGUUGUUAGAGAAGAACAAGGAUGAGAGUAACUGUUCAUCCCUUGACGGUAUCUAACCAGAAAGCCACGGCUAACUACGUGCCAGCAGCCGCGGUAAUACGUAGGUGGCAAGCGUUGUCCGGAUUUAUUGGGCGUAAAGCGAGCGCAGGCGGUUUCUUAAGUCUGAUGUGAAAGCCCCCGGCUCAACCGGGGAGGGUCAUUGGAAACUGGGAGACUUGAGUGCAGAAGAGGAGAGUGGAAUUCCAUGUGUAGCGGUGAAAUGCGUAGAUAUAUGGAGGAACACCAGUGGCGAAGGCGG